UACGUAGGGGGCAAGCGUUGUCCGGAUUUAUUGGGCGUAAAGAGCGUGUAGGCGGCCACACAGGUCAGCUGUGAAAACUCGAGGCUCAACCUCGAGACGUCGGUUGAAACCGUAUGGCUAGAGUCCGGAAGAGGAGAGUGGAAUUCCCGGUGUAGCGGUGAAAUGCGCAGAUAUCGGGAGGAACAUCAGUUGCGAAGGCGGCUCUCUGGACCAGCACUGACACUGAGGCACGAAAGCGUGGGGAGCAAACAGG
This 253-nucleotide ribosomal RNA is filed under the name uncultured bacterium. Its description in RNAcentral is "partial 16S ribosomal RNA". It matches the Rfam family "Bacterial small subunit ribosomal RNA", at positions 524 to 776 of the family's 1533-position model. The record is from RNAcentral.